AAUCAACGCUGGCGGCGUGCCUCAGACAUGCAAGUCGAACGCGAAAGUUCCCUUCGGGGGAUGAGUAGAGUGGCGCACGGGUGAGUAACACGUAGGUAAUCUACCUUCGGAUGGGGAAUAACAACCGGAAACGGUUGCUAAUACCGCAUAAUGCAGCGGCACCUAAUGGUGACAGUUGUUAAAGCGGGGGAUCGAAAGACCUCGCGUCUGAAGAGGAGCCUGCGGCGGAUUAGCAGUUGGUAGGGUAACGGCCUACCAAGGCUACGAUCCGUAGCCGGCCUGAGAGGGCGGUCGGCCACACUGACACUGACAUACGGGUCAGACUCCUACGGGAGGCAGCAGUCGGGAAUUUUGGGCAAUGGGCGAAAGCCUGACCCAGCAACGCCGCGUGAAGGAU
This 397-nucleotide ribosomal RNA is filed under the name uncultured bacterium. RNAcentral's name for it is "bacterial SSU rRNA". It matches the Rfam family "Bacterial small subunit ribosomal RNA", at positions 32 to 409 of the family's 1533-position model. The record is from RNAcentral.